UACAGAGGUCCCAAGCGUUGUUCGGAUUCACUGGGCGUAAAGGGUGCGUAGGUGGUCGGGUAAGUCCGAUGUGAAAUCUCCAGGCUCAACCUGGAAAUGGCAUUGGAUACUAUUCGGCUUGAGGAGUGGAGGGGGGACUGGAAUUCUCGGUGUAGCAGUGAAAUGCGUAGAUAUCGAGAGGAACACCAGUGGCGAAGGCGAGUCCCUGGACAGUUCCUGACACUGAGGCACGAAAGCUAGGGGAGCAAACAGG
This 253-nucleotide ribosomal RNA is filed under the name uncultured bacterium. RNAcentral's name for it is "partial 16S ribosomal RNA". It matches the Rfam family "Bacterial small subunit ribosomal RNA", at positions 524 to 776 of the family's 1533-position model. The record is from RNAcentral.